AAAAUAAAAAUAAAAAAACAAAAAGAAAAUACCAUUUAUUUUCCGCUCUUUAUUUUCCUUCCCCUUAAAAAAUUCCCAAACAUAGUGUAAAAAAACCCCACCAUACAAAACAAAGAUCGAUCCCUAAAAUUUAAGCAUCCCCUUGAAAUAUCCAUAGAUCUUAAAAAACUAAAGACAUAAACAGGAUCUAAAAUCAGAAAACUCCGAAUACAAAUUACACCAAAAUCAAAAUCAACGAACGACAAAAACCACUAGAGAGUAAAAAUUCUCACGUAAUCAGAUUAAUCAUCUAAGAAUCUAAACAAAAAUAAUAACUAAUAAUCAUUUCCAAUAGCCAAAUCGGGAAAAGAACAGUAGCCAACCGAGAAAGGAUUACCUUGAGAGAGAGGAGAGAAAUUUGAUUACGUUUAGAUCUGAAUUCUGAGCUUUGAAUGGUUGUGUGU
This 443-nucleotide unclassified non-coding RNA is filed under the name Hevea brasiliensis (rubber tree). Lineage: Eukaryota; Viridiplantae; Streptophyta; Magnoliopsida; Malpighiales; Euphorbiaceae. The record is from RNAcentral.